GGUAAACGGAGAUCCAACGUUAUCCGGAUUUAUUGGUUUAAAGGGUGCGUACGUGGUUUAAUAAGUCAGCACCGGUGAAAGUUUGCAGCUUAACUGUAAAAAUGCCGUUGAAACUGCUAGACUUGAGUGUAAAUGAUGUAAGGCGAAUGCGUGGUGUAACAGGUGAAAUGCUUAGAUAUCACGCAGAACUCCGAUUGCGAAGGCAGCUUACCAAGCUACAACUGACACUGAAGCACGAAAGCGUGGGGAUCAAACAGGAUUAGAUACCCUGGUAGUCCACGCAGUAAACGAUGAUUACUAGCUGUUUGCGAUACACAGUAAGCGGCACAGCGAAAGCGUUAAGUAAUCCACCUGGGGAGUACGCCGGCAACGGUGAAACUCAAAGGAAUUGACGGGGGCCCGCACAAGCGGAGGAACAUGUGGUUUAAUUCGAUGAUACGCGAGGAACCUUACCCGGGUUUGAACGCAGAGAGACAGGAGUGGAAACAUUCUUUUCAGCAAUGACUGUCUGCGAGGUGCUGCAUGGUUGUCGUCAGCUCGUGCCGUGAGGUGUCGGCUUAAGUGCCAUAACGAGCGCAACCCUUAUCUUUAGUUACUAACAGGUCAAGCUGAGGACUCUAGAGAGACUGCCAGCGUAAGCUGUGAGGAAAGUGGGGAUGACGUCAAAUGAGCACGGCCAUUACAUCCGGGGCGACCCACGUGUUACAAUGGUAAGGACAAAGGGCAGCUCACCGGGCGACCGGAUGCGAAUCUCUAAACCUUAUCUCAGUUCGGAUCGGAGUCUCGCAACUCGACUCCGGAAGCUGGAUUCCUUAGUAAUCGCCCAUCAGCCAUGCGCGGUGAAUACGUUCCCGGCCUGUACA
Molecule: ribosomal RNA, 863 nt
Filed under: uncultured bacterium
Lineage: Bacteria
Description: bacterial SSU rRNA
Rfam family: Bacterial small subunit ribosomal RNA
Source: RNAcentral